RNAcentral lists this ribosomal RNA (776 nucleotides) under uncultured Neocallimastigales. RNAcentral's name for it is "partial large subunit ribosomal RNA". It matches the Rfam family "Eukaryotic large subunit ribosomal RNA", at positions 23 to 633 of the family's 3401-position model. The record is from RNAcentral. Lineage: Eukaryota; Fungi; Neocallimastigomycota; Neocallimastigomycetes; Neocallimastigales.
AGAGAGAGACAUGCGCGCAUAUCAAUAAGCGGAGGAAAAGAAACUAACUAGGAUUCCCUCAGUAACGGCGAGUGAAGCGGGAAGAGCUCAAAUUUGAAAUCUUCAAGGGUUCUACCUUGACGAAUUGUAGUUUAUAGAAGUGUUUUCUGUUAGAGAGUUUGGUAAAAGUUCUUUGGAAUAGGACAUCAUAGAGGGUGAGAAUCCCGUAUUUGACACUUCUUUCUAGCUUUGUGAUACACUUUCAAAGAGUCGGAUUGUUUGGGAAUGCAGUCCAAAAUGGGUGGUAAAUUUCAUCUAAAGCUAAAUACUUGGCGAGAGACCGAUAGCGAACAAGUACCGUGAGGGAAAGAUGAAAAGAACUUUGAAAAGAGAGUUAAACAGUACGUGAAAUUGUCAAAAGGGAAGCGUUUGACACCAGUGUUGUUUUCUCGAAAAUCAAUUAAAAAUGGCGGAUUUUGUGUUGUAUUGACUUUAUCAGCUUUCUGCACUUUUUUCCUGUCUUUUUUAAUGCACUUUUCGUUUAACAAGUCAACAUCAAUUUCUUUUGUUGUAAAAGGGUCAUAGGAAGGUGGCUUUCUUUUCGGAGAAAGUGUUUAUAGCCUUUGACUUCUGCAAUCGGAGAGAUUGAGGUCUGCAGCGUAGAUCCUUCGGGGUUAGAUACAUUUGUGCUAAGUUAUAGCCUUUCAUAGACAACUUGUUGACUAUGAUCAGUCAUGUAGCUUACUCGCUUAUGCUAUUUUACCUACGCUUAGGAUGUUGACAGCAGUAUAGACUGU